ACUCAACAGCUAGCCCCCCCCCCAAAAAGCACAACAUCCAUAUAAAAUAACCCCUAAUUAACUACACACCCACAAAACAAAUCAUUUUUCCUCCCUAGUAUGGGCGACAAAAAAGGACAAAGGAGCUAUAGAGAAAGUACCGCAAGGGAACGCUGAAAGAAAAAUGAAAUAAACCAGUAAAGUAUAAAAAAGCAAAAAUUUGAGCUCGUAUUUUUCC
This 217-nucleotide ribosomal RNA is filed under the name Nandus nandus. Its description in RNAcentral is "partial 16S ribosomal RNA". Lineage: Eukaryota; Metazoa; Chordata; Actinopteri; Anabantiformes; Nandidae. The record is from RNAcentral.